UCAAGACGGGCGGCAUUUAACCAUUACGCCAGCAUCCUUGACAAAAGUCGCAAUCCUCAGUCCCAGCUGGCUGUAUUCCCACGGGCUAUAACACUCUACCGAAGCAGAGCCACAUUCCCGAGGAUUUAUCCAACCGCUAAAACUGAUGCUGGCCCAGCGAAAGCCGAAGCAAACGCCAUGUCUGAUCAAAUGCCCUUCCCUUUCAACAAUUUCACGUACUUUUUCACUCUCUUUUCAAAGUUCUUUUCAUCUUUCCAUCACUGUACUUGUUCGCUAUCGGUCUCUCGCCAAUAUUUAGCUUUAGAUGGAAUUUACCACCCACUUAGAGCUGCAUUCCCAAACAACUCGACUCGUCGAAAGCACUUUACAAAUAACUGGGAUCCUCGCCACACGGGAUUCUCACCCUCUAUGACGUCCUGUUCCAAGGAACAUAGACAAGGACCAGCUACAAAGUUGCCUUCUUCAAAUUACAACUCGGACGUCGAAGACGCCAGAUUUCAAAUUUGAGCUUUUGCCGCUUCACUCGCCGUUACUAAGGCAAUCCCGGUUGGUUUCUUUUCCUCCGC
RNAcentral lists this ribosomal RNA (566 nucleotides) under Kluyveromyces lactis. RNAcentral describes it as "partial 26S ribosomal RNA". The record is from RNAcentral. Lineage: Eukaryota; Fungi; Ascomycota; Saccharomycetes; Saccharomycetales; Saccharomycetaceae.